UGAAUAUUCGACAAAACAAAAUGUUCGCAGCCUUCUGCAAGAUAACCUUUUGACAAAGAAGACACCACUUCGAUGAGAGUGAAAGUUUUUUUCGCAUAUAAACGGAGAACUGAGAGGGAUUGACAAGAAAAUUUAGGGCAAACAAGCAUGGUGCGACUCCAAACCAGCAUUGAACUUGUUCGUUGUUUGCUUGUGAAGGAGGACGAUUUCUUUCCCUUUUUCCUUUGAUUGGGCGGGAUUAACAAAGAAAUCUUCGAGCCUUGUUCGUUCGAACAGGAGAAGAGAAGGUUUUCUAUUGUUCUGCAUCAAUAAAAAAUCUACUGAGAACUACAUCAAAGUCAAGAAGAUAUACCAGGAGCUCAAAGAUAAAUUUCAACCACCUCAUCUAGUUCCAAGGAAUGAACAGUUCACAGCACAGGCAUCACUCUGCAGCUUGUGUGAACAGUUCAUAGUAGAAGCAUUGUACUAUCUUGGUACAAACAAGACUCAAGCAGAGAUCAUGGAUAUCCUCCAUGGGACAUGUUCCAAGAUGGAAGCCUUCUAUCCGCAGAACCACUAGGGCCAAGCAUACCAAAGCAUUCACCUUGGAGUACAGCAAGAGAUAGACUUUGGACUGCAUGCCUCCUAUAGUUUCCAUCUUGUCUGAUGUAAACUUUCUUUAAGUUAUGGCAAAAGUUUGGGUAACUUCCAUCUGGUUCCUUCAUUAGUUGUUGAACUUUAUAUCUCUACAAAGGAAGGAAGAAAGAUGGUAUAUUAAAAUGUAAGACAGAUUCGUUGUCAAUCCUAUUUCCUGGUUAUUACAGAGAAGCUUUGAACAUC
Molecule: long non-coding RNA, 819 nt
Organism: Nelumbo nucifera (sacred lotus)
Lineage: Eukaryota; Viridiplantae; Streptophyta; Magnoliopsida; Proteales; Nelumbonaceae
Source: RefSeq, a predicted model, not a curated record